UGGGGAAUAUUGGACAAUGGGCGAAAGCCUGAUCCAGCCAUGCCGCGUGUGUGAAGAAGGUCUUCGGAUUGUAAAGCACUUUAAGUUGGGAGGAAGGGCAGUAAGCGAAUACCUUGCUGUUUUGACGUCACCGACAGAAUAAGCACCGGCUAACUCUGUGCCAGCAGCCGCGGUAAUACAGAUGGUGCAAGCGUUAAUCGGAAUUACUGGGCGUAAAGCGCGCGUAGGUGGUUCGUUAAGUUGAAUGUGAAAGCCCCGGGCUCAACCUGGGAACUGCAUCCAAAACUGGCGAGCUAGAGUAGGGCAGAGGGUGGUGGAAUUUCCUGUGUAGCGGUGAAAUGCGUAGAUAUAGGAAGGAACACCAGUGGCGAAGGCGACCACCUGGGCUCAUACUGACACUGAGGUGCGAAAGCGUGGGGAGCAAACAGG
RNAcentral lists this ribosomal RNA (429 nucleotides) under Pseudomonadota bacterium. RNAcentral describes it as "Proteobacteria bacterium partial 16S ribosomal RNA". It matches the Rfam family "Bacterial small subunit ribosomal RNA", at positions 355 to 776 of the family's 1533-position model. Lineage: Bacteria; Pseudomonadati; Pseudomonadota. The record is from RNAcentral.